UAGGGAAUCUUCGGCAAUGGGGGGAACCCUGACCGAGCAACGCCGCGUGAGUGAAGAAGGUUUUCGGAUCGUAAAGCUCUUUUGUUAAGGAAGAACGAGUGUGAGAAUGGAAAGUUCAUACUGUGACGGUACUUAACCAGAAAGGGACGGCUAACUACGUGCCAGCAGCCGCGGUAAUACGUAGGUCCCGAGCGUUGUCCGGAUUUAUUGGGCGUAAAGCGAGCGCAGGCGGUUAGAUAAGUCUGAAGUUAAAGGCAGUGGCUCAACCAUUGUAGGCUUUGGAAACUGUUUAACUUGAGUGCAGAAGGGGAGAGUGGAAUUCCAUGUGUAGCGGUGAAAUGCGUAGAUAUAUGGAGGAACACCGGUGGCGAAAGCGGCUCUCGGGUCUGUAUCUGACGCUGAGGCUCGAAAGCGUGGGGAGCGAACAGG
RNAcentral lists this ribosomal RNA (429 nucleotides) under Bacteroidota bacterium. RNAcentral's name for it is "Bacteroidetes bacterium partial 16S ribosomal RNA". It matches the Rfam family "Bacterial small subunit ribosomal RNA", at positions 355 to 776 of the family's 1533-position model. Lineage: Bacteria; Pseudomonadati; Bacteroidota. The record is from RNAcentral.